CCUACGGGAGGCAGCAGUGGGGAAUCUUGCACAAUGGGGGAAACCCUGAUGCAGCGACGCCGCGUGAGUGAAGAAGUAUUUCGGUAUGUAAAGCUCUAUCAGCAGGGAAGAAAAUGACGGUAACUGAUGCAGAAGCGCCGGCUAACUACGUGCCAGCAGCCGCGGUAAUACGUAGGGGGCAAGCGUUAUCCGGAUUUACUGGGUGUAAAGGGAGCGUAGACGGCAGCACAAGUCUGGAGUGAAAUGCCCGGGCUUAACCCGGGGACUGCUUUGGAAACUGUGCAGCUAGAGUGCAGGAGGGGUAAGUGGAAUUCUUAGGGUAGCAGUGAAAUGCGUAGAUAUUAGGAGGAACACCAGUGGCGAAGGCGGCUUCCUGGACUGUAACUGACGUUGAGGCUCGAAAGCGUGGGGAGCAAACAGGAUUAGAUACCCUGGUAGUC
Molecule: ribosomal RNA, 440 nt
Filed under: uncultured bacterium
Lineage: Bacteria
Description: partial 16S ribosomal RNA
Rfam family: Bacterial small subunit ribosomal RNA
Source: RNAcentral